RNAcentral lists this ribosomal RNA (466 nucleotides) under uncultured ammonia-oxidizing beta proteobacterium. RNAcentral describes it as "bacterial SSU rRNA". It matches the Rfam family "Bacterial small subunit ribosomal RNA", at positions 198 to 645 of the family's 1533-position model. Lineage: Bacteria; Pseudomonadati; Pseudomonadota; Betaproteobacteria. The record is from RNAcentral.
GGAGGAAAGUAGGGGAUCGCAAGACCUUGCGCUUUUGGAGUGGCCGAUGCCUGAUUAGCUAGUUGGUAGGGUAAUGGCUUACCAAGGCGACGAUCAGUAGUUGGUCUGAGAGGACGACCAGCCACACUGGGACUGAGACACGGCCCAGACUCCUACGGGAGGCAGCAGUGGGGAAUUUUGGACAAUGGGCGAAAGCCUGAUCCAGCAAUGCCGCGUGAGUGAAGAAGGCCUUCGGGUUGUAAAGCUCUUUCAGUCGAGAAGAAAAGGUUGUGACUAAUAAUCACAACUCAUGACGGUAUCGACAGAAGAAGCACCGGCUAACUACGUGCCAGCAGCCGCGGUAAUACGUAGGGUGCGAGCGUUAAUCGGAAUCACUGGGCGUAAAGGGUGCGCAGGCGGCUUUGUAAGUCAGAUGUGAAAUCCCCGGGCUUAACCUGGGAAUUGCGUUUGAAACUACAAAGCUAGA